CGCUUGAUGGAGGGGAGCGGCAGACGGGAGAGUAACACGUGGGAACGUACCCUUUGGUUCGGAACAACCCAGGGAAACUUGGGCUAAUACCGGAUAAGCCCUUACGGGGAAAGAUUUAUCGCCGAAGGAUCGGCCCGCGUCUGAUUAGCUAGUUGGUGGGGUAAUGGCCCACCAAGGCGACGAUCAGUAGCUGGUCUGAGAGGAUGAUCAGCCUCACUGGGACUGAGACACGGCCCAG
RNAcentral lists this ribosomal RNA (238 nucleotides) under uncultured bacterium. RNAcentral describes it as "partial 16S ribosomal RNA". It matches the Rfam family "Bacterial small subunit ribosomal RNA", at positions 78 to 334 of the family's 1533-position model. The record is from RNAcentral.